This 347-nucleotide ribosomal RNA is filed under the name uncultured bacterium. Its description in RNAcentral is "partial 16S ribosomal RNA". It matches the Rfam family "Bacterial small subunit ribosomal RNA", at positions 338 to 682 of the family's 1533-position model. The record is from RNAcentral.
CCUACGGGUGGCAGCAGUGAGGAAUAGUGGGCAAUGGGAGGAAGCCGGAACCAGCCAGGCCGCGUGCAGGACGACGGCGCGACGAGAGGUAAACUGCUGUUGUACAGGGGUAAAAUGCGCUACGAGUAGGGUUUUGAAAGUACGGUACGAAUAAGGAUCGGCUAACUCCGUGCCAGCAGCCGCGGUAAUACGGAGGAUCCGAGCGUUAGCCGGAGUGAUUGGGUUGAAAGGGUGCGUCGGUUGUUUUAUAAGUUAGCGGUGAAAUACCGAUGCUCCACAUCGGGGCUGCCGCUGAUACUGUAGGACUAGAGCUCGGCUGCCGCAGGCGGAAUGUGUCGUGUAGCGGU